GAUCAUGGCUCAGGAUGAACGCUAGCUACAGGCUUAACACAUGCAAGUCGAGGGGCAGCAUUUCAGUUUGCUUGCAAACUGAAGAUGGCGACCGGCGCACGGGUGAGUAACACGUAUCCAACCUGCCGAUAACUCGGGGAUAGCCUUUCGAAAUAAAGAUUAAUACCGGAUGGCAUAUGAUUAUCGCAUGAUAAUCCUAUUAAAGAAUUUCGGUUAUCGAUGGGGAUGCG
Molecule: ribosomal RNA, 230 nt
Filed under: uncultured bacterium
Lineage: Bacteria
Description: partial 16S ribosomal RNA
Rfam family: Bacterial small subunit ribosomal RNA
Source: RNAcentral